UACGGAGGGAGCUAGCGUUGUUCGGAAUUACUGGGCGUAAAGCGCACGUAGGCGGCGAAGUAAGUCAGGGGUGAAAUCCCGGGGCUCAACCCCGGAACUGCCUUUGAAACUGCUAUGCUAGAAUCCUGGAGAGGCGAGUGGAAUUCCGAGUGUAGAGGUGAAAUUCGUAGAUAUUCGGAAGAACACCAGUGGCGAAGGCGACUCGCUGGACAGGUAUUGACGCUGAGGUGCGAAAGCGUGGGGAGCAAACAGG
This 253-nucleotide ribosomal RNA is filed under the name Erythrobacteraceae bacterium. Its description in RNAcentral is "partial 16S ribosomal RNA". It matches the Rfam family "Bacterial small subunit ribosomal RNA", at positions 524 to 776 of the family's 1533-position model. The record is from RNAcentral. Lineage: Bacteria; Pseudomonadati; Pseudomonadota; Alphaproteobacteria; Sphingomonadales; Erythrobacteraceae. RNAcentral also lists the same sequence under 1 other name.